RNAcentral lists this transfer RNA (108 nucleotides) under Actinomycetota bacterium. RNAcentral's name for it is "Actinobacteria bacterium tRNA-Ser". Lineage: Bacteria; Bacillati; Actinomycetota. The record is from RNAcentral.
GGAUUGAUUCAGCUUGUCUAAGCGGUUACGGGAUUCCAAGAGGGUCCGCGGGAACCCCUCGCCGGCUUUGCAAGCCGGAGGUCACCGGUUCGAUCCCGGUACGCUCCA